This 392-nucleotide ribosomal RNA is filed under the name Enterobacter hormaechei subsp. xiangfangensis. RNAcentral describes it as "partial 23S ribosomal RNA". It matches the Rfam family "Bacterial large subunit ribosomal RNA", at positions 1948 to 2339 of the family's 2925-position model. Lineage: Bacteria; Pseudomonadati; Pseudomonadota; Gammaproteobacteria; Enterobacterales; Enterobacteriaceae. The record is from RNAcentral.
GUCCUAAGGUAGCGAAAUUCCUUGUCGGGUAAGUUCCGACCUGCACGAAUGGCGUAAUUAUGGCCAGGCUGUCUCCACCCGAUACUCAGUGAAAUUGAACUCGCUGUUAAGAUGCAGUGUACCCGCGGCAAUACGGAAAGACCCCGUGAACCUUUACUAUAGCUUGACACUGAACACGGGUCCUUGAUGUGUAGGAUAGGUGGGAGGCUUUGAAGCGUGGAAGCCAGUCUGCGUGGAGCCAUCCUUGAAAUACCACCCUUUAAUGGCGGGUGUUCUAACGUAGACCCGUGAUCCGGGUUGCGGACCGUGUCUGGUGGGUCGUUUGACUGGGGCGGUCUCCUCCCAACGAGUAACGGAGGAGCACGAAGGUUGGCUAAUCCUUGUCGGACAUC